Long non-coding RNA from Sorex fumeus (smoky shrew), 346 nucleotides. RefSeq lists it as uncharacterized. The record is from RefSeq and is a predicted model, not a curated record. NCBI's taxonomy places the organism in Eukaryota, Metazoa, Chordata, Mammalia, Eulipotyphla, Soricidae. The transcript is spliced from 4 exons.
GGAUAUGAAGAUCUCUGUGACUCCUGCAGAGUUAAGUGGAGAGCACAACAUGGAGUAAGACCAGGGAAGAGGGGCCGGAAGCAGGGAUGCUGGGAGUCUGCAGGAAUAGAUGCCUCUGAGGAUGGACUGGGGUGCCCAGGUGUGCGUGCCCGUGCACGCAGGAUAAAGGCUGCACAACCCUCUGGAGGAGAAAGAAGCCCAGGAUGCAGAGUCCAAGGGGAGUGAGCAGAGGAGGAGCUCAGAGGCCUCUCAGAGACAUCUACAGUUGACAAAAAUGACUCCUGCAAGAUAAUUGGAGACUGGAGGUGACUGGGGCUGCUGGGCACGAGCGGGGCCAUCACACCAC